This 149-nucleotide unclassified non-coding RNA is filed under the name soil metagenome. RNAcentral's name for it is "partial internal transcribed spacer 1". The record is from RNAcentral.
CCGAGUUUACAACUCCCAAACCCCUGUGAACAUACCAAUUGUUGCCUCGGCGGAUCAGCCCGCUCCCGGUAAAACGGGACGGGCCCGCCAGAGGACCCCUAAACUCUGUUUCUAUAUGUAACUUCUGAGUAAAAACCAUAAAUAAAUCA